Molecule: long non-coding RNA, 2106 nt
Organism: Chelonia mydas (Green sea turtle)
Lineage: Eukaryota; Metazoa; Chordata; Testudines; Cheloniidae
Exons: 2
Source: RefSeq, a predicted model, not a curated record
UUACUUCGUGUAAUGACCCAUCCACUCCCAGUCUUGAUUCAAGCCUAAUGUAAUGGUGUCCAGUUGGCAAAUUAAUUCCAGUUCACACUUACCACCUAUUAAAAAGUUUAGAAAAACCUGCAUCACUAUCUCCACUCAAGUGGCCUGUUAUCUCUUGCUGGUGCUGCCCUUUGAGUGAUACUUCAUUGAAAGGCUCCUAUUGGAGUAAGCAGAUUAGGAACAAGAGCAUAUGGGACCGUUGAAAGUUAGAGUUGCAAGUUCUGUUUAAAAAUAAAUAGAAUUUAGCUGUCAGCCUAGACACUUUGAUUUCCAAUUCCUUCUUGUUGCAAAGCUGCUUCUUUCAGCCCUCCUUUGUUAAAAUGACAGCUCUGUCAGUCCUUUGUUAGAUUUGACAGUUUUGUGACUUACUCUUUAGGUCUAGAUAAUCCGUAUAGAAAAGUACAUUAACUAAAGUUUGUAAAGGGCCAGGAUAUUGGGAAUGUCACUUAUCGGAUACUAUUGCAGAAGUAUUGAAAUCAAUAUACUGGACAGCACCAUCGCCUCUCCACCCCUUCCAAGACUCAUCACUAGCUGAAAGAAAAAUGUAUAGGUGGAGAGCGGUGGCUUUUCUUUGAUUAGUUGAGAACUAAUAAUUAGUGUCUCACAUCUUGGGGGGGGAAACCAAUAUUUCUAACAGGCUUUGACUGUAUGCUCAUUUCAGUUUUUCUUAGAGUACCAUAAAAAUAAGUUAAACAUUGAACUGCUGUUUUUCCAUUUAAGGGAUAGGCAUGUUUUUUUUAUCUGACAAUAAAUAAUCUAGUUAAGUAGACAAACUAUGGGAGACCAAAAUAAAUACCGAGGCAUAGCUCAGUGGUUUGAGCAUUGGCCCGCUAAACCCAGAGUUGUGAGUUCAAUCCUUAAGGGGGCCAUUUAGGGAUCUGGGGCAAAAAUUGGGGAUUGGUCCUGCUUUGAGCCGGGGGUUGGACUAGAUUACCUCCUGAGGUCCCUUCUAACCCUGAUAUUCUAUGAUUGCCUUAGGUCUCAAAACAUCAACAGCAGAAAAUGGUUCCACAGAGUCCAACCUCCCCCCUGCAGAGACUUUUUGGUUUUUGUUUUGUAAUGGGAAUUCUGCUCACUUAACUGUAUGGCAGAGAAUGAUAUAACUACUUGUGGGGUGGGGAACAUUACAAAUAUUCCUUCUCUCCUCUUAGGGAUUAAUGACCACUCGUAAAAGCUUUUUACAGAUUAUGGUAGUCUUGCGAUGUCAUAAUGUGAAGUUCUCAUUGCAUACUUAUUUCUACAACAAAAGCUAGUGUUUCAUUUUGAAUGAACUCUAGUUUUGCAGGCAUUUGGUGACGAGAUCCCUGUAUGUCCUCAUCUGUCCCUUCUUCCCAUCCCUCAAAUCUACUACUCAACUAUGAGUUCCUGCUCUAAUGGUUAGCCUUGGUGGUUGAAAAAGGAGUAGUCAAUAAGGGCCUGACCCAAUGCCCAUUGAAAUCAAUUAGUGGUUCCAUUGAUCUCAAUGUGUGUUUAUCUCAGGCCCUUAUCGACUGCUCCUUUUCCAACUAUCAAGUUUUCCUUUGGGGGUGACAUAUUGGUAACCUGACAUACAGAUAACUGAAGAGGCACAGUUUUUGUCAUUUUAGAUAUAUCUGACAGAGCUAAGACGACUACCUCUCUCUGAGCAAAGGUGCUGCAUUUGAGGUGGCAUGCAGUGUGGUGGGUUCCUUCCACAUCAGCCAAAAUCAGCAGGCAGUGAAAGUUAAUACCUAUAAUACUAUUUUAUAGUCAAAACUGCUUAGCACUUUGAAAUGUCAAAUCUAUUUGGCACUACCCUACUGAAGACGAACUGGAGCUGUGGUAUAACUGAGAUGGGGAAACUGAGGGACAGUGAUGGAACCAACUUACCCAACGUCACCCACCAGGCCUGUGGUAGAGUCAGGCAUAGAAGCCACAGUUCUUGUCUGUGCGUUUUUUGGUGUUUGUUUUUUAAGAGGGCCUAAUGUAUUUAGAUAGAUGUAGCCUUCUGCAGUUGUUUGGUUUAGCUUAAGUUAACUCAGUUUUGUGCUGAGUAUGACUACCCCUGAAUGGAACUGUGCAGGAAAAAUAAAUGAACUCCAGAGCAAA